Vicia faba (fava bean) is the source of this 294-nucleotide non-coding RNA. The record is from the annotation of a GenBank genome assembly. Lineage: Eukaryota; Viridiplantae; Streptophyta; Magnoliopsida; Fabales; Fabaceae.
AUGAAAAUCCUGAUGGGGUUGAUCAUGAUAUACAUGCAAGCUUUGGCAUGUGGUCGGAAAUUCUUCGAGAAGGAAGAUAAUCAAUUAAAGACUCAGGUGAGCCAGGGCAUGAAAGCUCUGAUGAUGAUCUCAACAAUCUUGCACCUACUGCCGCACAAGUUCUCUCUUCUCCUCAUCUUUUGGGAAUUGCUUUUAACCAUGGAGUGCUACACAAUCUUGAGUACUUGGGACAUCUUAUCAGCAUAUGUUUCCCAUUUACUAUGGGAUCUUAUAUCAAUGCUUCGUUCUUAUUGA